GACGAACGCUGGCGGCGUGCCUAACACAUGCAAGUCGAACGGGGUCCAUGGGAGCUUGCUCCCGGAAGACCUAGUGGCGAACGGGUGAGUAACACGUGAGAAACCUGCCCUGGAGUGGGGAAUAACUCGGGGAAACUCGAGCUAAUACCGCAUACCCUCGGAUGGUCGCAUGGCCGACCGAGGAAAGAUUUAUCGCUUCAGGAGGGUCUCGCGGCCUAUCAGCUAGUUGGNGGGGUAACGCCUACCAAGGCAACGACGGGUAGCUGGUUUGAGAGAACGAUCAGCCACACUGGGACUGAGACACGGCCCAGACUCCUACGGGAGGCAGCAGUGGGGAAUCUUGCGCAAUGGGCGAAAGCCUGACGCAGCAACGCCGCGUGCGGGAUGACGGCCUUCGUAGGUUGUAACCGCUUUCAGCAGGACGAAAUAGACGGUA
Molecule: ribosomal RNA, 436 nt
Filed under: uncultured bacterium
Lineage: Bacteria
Description: bacterial SSU rRNA
Rfam family: Bacterial small subunit ribosomal RNA
Source: RNAcentral